Long non-coding RNA from Lonchura striata (white-rumped munia), 125 nucleotides. RefSeq lists it as uncharacterized. The record is from RefSeq and is a predicted model, not a curated record. Lineage: Eukaryota; Metazoa; Chordata; Aves; Passeriformes; Estrildidae.
AGACGCUGAGUUUUGCCAAAUUCCAGCACUUGUGAAGCUGCAUCUGCAGUGCUGGAUCCUGCUCUGAGUUCCCCAAUACAACAGAGAGAUGGAACGGAUUGUUUACAAAUGUCUUCCCAGCACCU